RNAcentral lists this ribosomal RNA (457 nucleotides) under uncultured bacterium. RNAcentral describes it as "bacterial SSU rRNA". It matches the Rfam family "Bacterial small subunit ribosomal RNA", at positions 1 to 507 of the family's 1533-position model. The record is from RNAcentral.
AGUAGUUUGACUCCGUGGCUCAAGAACGAACGCUGGCGGCAUGCCUAACACAUGCAAGUCGAACGAGACCGUUCGGGUCUAGUGGCGCACGGGUGCGUAACGCGUGGGAAUCUGCCCCUUGGUUCGGAAUAACAGUUAGAAAUGACUGCUAAUACCGGAUGAUGACGAAAGUCCAAAGAUUUAUCGCCGAGGGAUGAGCCCGCGUAGGAUUAGCUAGUUGGUGAGGUAAAGGCUCACCAAGGCGACGAUCCUUAGCUGGUCUGAGAGGAUGAUCAGCCACACUGGGACUGAGACACGGCCCAGACUCCUACGGGAGGCAGCAGUGGGGAAUAUUGGACAAUGGGCGAAAGCCUGAUCCAGCAAUGCCGCGUGAGUGAUGAAGGCCUUAGGGUCGUAAAGCUCUUUACCAGGGAUGAUAAUGACAGUACCUGGAGAAUAAGCUCCGGCUAACUCCGUG